CUUCAUCAUCACACAAACCAAAAGAACAACAAUGACUUUCAUCAUCAUCUUCAUCUGGACACUCACAGUCUUUACUCAAGUGUGUAGAGGACAGUACACUCUUACUCAGAGUCCAUCAAAAACAGCAGUUCAACCAGGACAACAAGUUAAAAUAAACUGUCAAGUCAGCAGUAAUGUCUACUCAGAUAGCCAUGGGCCUCGACUCAGUUGGUAUUUACAAAAACCCGGAGAAGCUCCCAAACGCCUCAUAUAUCUUGCAAAAACCCUCCAGUCAGGAACUCCAUCAAGAUUCAGUGGCAGCGGAUCAAACACAGAUUUCACUUUGACCAUCAGUGGAGUUCAGACUGAAGAUUCAGGAGAUUAUUACUGUCAGAGUUAUCACUAUAUCAACAGUAAAGAUGUGUUGACACAGUGA
Molecule: non-coding RNA, 415 nt
Organism: Paramisgurnus dabryanus
Lineage: Eukaryota; Metazoa; Chordata; Actinopteri; Cypriniformes; Cobitidae
Source: the annotation of a RefSeq genome assembly